Trifolium pratense (red clover) is the source of this 4797-nucleotide RNA transcript. RefSeq lists it as uncharacterized. The record is from RefSeq and is a predicted model, not a curated record. The transcript is spliced from 4 exons. NCBI's taxonomy places the organism in Eukaryota, Viridiplantae, Streptophyta, Magnoliopsida, Fabales, Fabaceae.
AUAACAACCAGACAAAUUGUUUCCGUUCUAAUUGUGCUUGUGUCGUGACUCAAGAACCCUCUUUCUCUCUCUCAUAAGUCGCUUUCAGUCAUAAAUUAGGGAAAAGCAAUUAGACAGCUACACCCACACACACUCUCUCUCUCUCUCUCUCCCUUCUCUUCUCAUCUCAGUUCAGUUCUCACCACCCAGCUCAAAAACGUUACCCUCUUUCUCUCUCUAUCUCAUGUUUCUCUCUCCUCUUCCUUCUUCUUAACUAUAACUAGUUUCUCUGUGAGUUACCUUCACUACUCAUCAUGGAAGCUAACUUUGAUGGAUUCUCAAUAAGAGAAUACACUUCUAAGAUGAGGUCCAUCGAUGUUUUCAAAUGCUGGCCAUUCCCUGCAACCACUAACCGUCAACUCACGCGCGACGAACUUCACUCAUGGCUUCCUCCUAUGUCACCCUGCCCUAAGGGCAGAUCCAAUCCUCAAGAACCUUCUAGAACCGAUCAUAACGGUUAUUAUUCAAGUCAAGAAGAAUCUGAAUCUUCCAAAUCAGAUAAACUCGCUUCUCCUUCUGCUCCUGCUUGUGCUCGUGCUCCUGAAGAUGAUGAAAAAUUGGAGAUGAUUUGUCCGGUAUGUCGCGAAUUCAACGCGGCUACUCUCACGGCGGUAAACGCACACAUCGACGGUUGUCUUGCGGAGUCUGUUAGAGAAGAGCGUCGUCACAUGAAGAUGAUGAAUUCCAAAGCAACUAAAUCGAUUAAAUCCAAGUCACCGAAAAAACGUUCUAUCGCUGAGAUUUUCAAGGUCGAAAAUAAGGAUCAGGUUCAGGAGAAAGAAGAAGAAGAAGAAGAAAGACAGCUACAUAACGAGAGAGCGAUGAAAUUGUGGCCGUUACCUGAGGAUGUAGUCGAGGAUGAAGUUUCGAUUACUGUUAGGAAGUUCAGAUGGCUUUCAGAACGGCUUGAGGCGUUGAGAUCUAAACCUGGAGGUGUUGAAUCUGUGAAAUCUUCAGUGGAUGAGGAGAAAUUGGAGAUGAUUUGUCCGGUUUGUCGAGAUUUCAACGCUGCUACUGUGACGGCGGUGAACGCUCACAUCGAUAGUUGUUUAGCUCAGGCGGUUAGAGGUGAACGGCGUCAAACGGUGAAGACUGGUUUCAACUUCAAGUCUAAACCUAAAGCUCUGAAGAAACGUUCGAUUGCUGAGAUUCUUAAUGCAGCGCCACCGAUCCAAAUCAGUAAUAACAAAACUAAGACGGUUGAGGUUGAGGAAGAUGAAGAUAAAUUCUCCGAUUAUUCCGGCGAGGAAACUAGUGCUUCUGAUGCUGCUGCUACUUUUGUUUCGAUAACUAAGAAUAAGAAGAGUGUGAAUAAAAACAGCAAAAAGAAAAAGACAAAGAAGAGUAAGAAGAAGAUGAUGAUGAAAAGCAAGUUGGGAAAGGACUUUGAUAGUGGUGUGUUGCUGAACAAUGAGAAGAAGACUGAUGUGAACAUGAAAAAGAAGAAGAAGAAAAAGAAGAAAAUCUUCAACAGUGAGGUCACUGGGAAGAAGGAAAGUGCUUACAACCGCGAGGUGCAAACCGCUGCAAAUAGUUGCAGAAAACUAAGAGGUACAUUUGGUAAUGAAAUGGUUGCACUGCAAGACAUUGAACCUUCUGUCCAUAGAAAGAAAUUGGGUUUAAAUGGCUUACCAGUUGAAAAGAAGCCACAAUUUACAAACUGUGACUCAGUUGGAAAGCGACAAAAAACAGAUUCUCCUGUUCGGGGCAUUCUUAAGAACCACUUAAGACAUGUUUCUGGAAAGUUAUCAGAUGGAUGUAAAAUUCGAGAUGGUACUGAAGAAAGUGAUGAUGAGAAUGAUCAUGUCAAAUUCUCUUAUAAAGAUAAAAUAGUUGGUCCGAAAAAGACAAAUUCAUUUGAUGAAACCAUGUUUAGCAUAUCUUCAGAUGCACUGCCUACUUCAUUUGUAAAGGAGCAGUCCUCUGGAAGUGAUGAAGAUUGUUCAAGUUUUGAGGCAGACCGAAAUUAUGACCACAUUGCCCUUAAGAUAGACAAGGACAAGAGGGAGGAGGUUUGCCCAAUAACUGAAAGCAAACAGUUUUCUAGUACUUUGGUACAUGUCACUGGACCAAAUUUCUUGAAGCCCUGUAUCAAUGAAGAGAAAUCAAAUCAGUUAGAACAGAAGUCUGAAAUAUUAACCAAGAUAGCCGUUUAUGAAGAUAAUAAUUCACAGCUUUUUGAUGGAGGCAACACAACUGCAGUGCAUUUUUCUCCAAAUGCUGGCAUUUCUAAACCUCUUUCGGAAGUCCAAGAAGGGCGAUUGUGUGGUAAAAAUCCAGAAGUGCGUGAAUCUGGAGUUUUCAGUUUCAGUGGAAAGUUCAUUGACUAUUCCCAGGAUCCUACUUUUCAGGUUGACGUGAACCAAAAUGCUAGUACAAACACAUUCCUGGAGCCUUCGUCAUCUUAUUCUGCUCCAUAUAACAAAGUAAAUGAAAAACCAGAAUCUCCAUCGCCUUCAUCAUCCUAUUAUGGAGAUAAUGGUAAUAGUGACCAGGUCUUGGGUACAGCAGAUAUGAUUGAUAAGUCAUACCCUUUUUCAAGCUGGGGACAAGGAUGCAUAAGAAACAGCUGUAUGGAUCCCAACUUUUUCGGUUUGCCACUCAAUUCUCAUGGUGAGCUGAUCAAUUUCAAUUCAAGUGGAAAUGUAGGGACGAACCAGCUGGAGACAUCAACUCCAUUAGGAGGUUCUGCAAGUGGCUUGCCUAGUAAUAAUAUUCUCUGUCAAAGUAGCCAGGAGAAUUUAACCAUUAAUGAGAGGCAGUUUGUUCAGAAGACAUUACCGAAAGAUGGUCUAAGUUCAUUACCUCAUUAUCCACCCAAGUUAGAUGUGACCGAGUUAUCCAGUCAUAGAGAAGAUAUCCAUCCAUCCAAUUUUGAAAUGUAUUCCAGUCACCACGUACAGCCACUUCAUCCAGAGCUCCUUAAACAUAACUCGUGUGUUGAACAGAACCAAUGUGAAAGAGUGCAGAACCACAACAGAAACGGUAUGGUUUCUCUGAAAGAAGGUUCAGAUCAUAUCUCACUAAAUUCCUGCCAACCAACAGUGAGGUUGAUGGGUAAAGAUGUUCCGAUUGCUAGAAGCAGCCAAGGUACACAACAAUUUAUGGGAGAUGUUUGGACUGAUGAGGAAUCCAGAAGAAGGCAUUAUGCUGAAUAUACUGCGUUAGAAACUUCUUUACUGGGAAGAUUUUCCAAGCAGGAUUGGGUAUCGGGUUCCCCUUUGCAAAUAUCAACUGAUAGUGUAUUGCAGUUGGCAAAAAUUCAAAGCACCCAUGGAUUACAAAGCACUCGGGGAUUUCCUCAACAAUUUAUUGAUAUGCAUAGUGAUCAUGUUUCUCAAAAUGGAAGUCUCGGAGUCUGCAGAAAUGCCAGUUCUUAUUUCAAUCCAAUUGCUCAGGAAUCUACCUCAUAUGCAGUAUUUAAUGGGGCACCGGAUGACUUUUCAAAGCAGUUUAUAGCUGGUUCUAAACCAUCAGGACUGAGCUCUCGGUCACAUGUAUUACCCGCUCCUUCCAAUUAUAAUCAGCCGAUGUGUUCAAGAAUUGGCGACCUUAAUGGCAGGAACAGAAAUCCUAAUGUUACAAAAUCAGGCUUUGGAUUUCCUUUCUUGCAGCCUGCUGUCGAUGAACCAGCCAAGGCACAUUGGAGUCAAGGGCCUUAUAGAAGUUCACCAUCUUGGUUGUCUAGCUCAACAGAUGACAGGUUAACCGGGGCUUAUUCUCAGCAACUUUCUGGCGUAGGUAAUCAAAGUUUCCCUCAAAAUCGAUGGGGAAAUAAUUUCAUCACGCCAUCUCUUAAUCACACAGCAGAAGUUCUCUACCCUUCUAAUCCUUUGACUUCUCAAGGUCCCAUUAAGACGACCCCUCUUUGUCCAGCACCUAUUGUUCAACCUCCAAAAGUUUCAGUUACAUCAUCUGCCAUGAAUAGUGAUUGUAGAAACAUAAACAAGGUCGUUGAGAGAGUAAAGUUGGAUGAUAUGGCCGUCAAAGACCAUCAUCCGUGCACAAAUAUCAGGAAGAGACCUGCAGCUAAUCUUGAUGAUUCCAGAAAACCUAUCAAGGUAUCCAAUAUAGAAGUGAGAGAAAACAUGAGUUGUAUGACAAAGUUGACUCAAGAAAGCUCAAAUGUGGAAUUGCAUUGUAACAAAAGAGCAAUGGUACAUGAUCCACAAGUGGAGAUCGCUAGAAGUAGGUGUUGCCAGAAUGUGGCACAAAAUCUAAAUCCUACAAGUUAUCCUGCCGUUGAUUCUUUUAAACCAAAUGGCGUGAUAAGAUCUAGUCCUGUCCGACUUGGUCCUAAAAGAGCUAAGCACAUCCUAAAAUCCUCUUGAAAUAUCGAUCAGGAUAGCAAAAGAGCGAUCCAUUUUGCCAUAGUCUUAUUUGUGAUUACUGACUGUGAUAGGGAUGUAGGAAUUCAGAGUUAAUUGACUAAAGUAUACUGAUUUUAGGUGUUGCGGAAACCGUGGAGAAUUGAUGUAAUUCCAUCCAAUCUUUUCAUCAUCCAGCUCAGUUUUGAAGUUUUUUGCUUUUUACAGAAUUUUAUCACCAAAGGUGAUGCUUUCAAUAUCUAUUUUCGAGUCAGGUAUUCUCGACACAGCUUAUGAUUAUCUUCUCAAUUAAAAUUAGGAUACAAAGGUCUCAUAAAGAAUUUGAUUAUAAGCUGUUAUGAGAACAAAUAUGUUAUAAAAGAUACACACACUUUUGAUGGAAAAAAGAGAUCAAAAUUUGCUUCCCCUCUAAUUAAGUUUAUGUUGUUAA